GACGAACGCUGGCGGCGUGCUUAACACAUGCAAGUCGAACGGAAAGGCCCUGCUUUUGUGGGGUGCUAGAGUGGCGAACGGGUGAGUAACAAGUGAGUAACCUGCCUGUGACUUUGGGAUAACUUCAGGAAACUGGGGCUAAUACCGGAUAGGAGCUCCUGCUGCAUGGUGGGGGUUGGAAAGUUUCGGCGGUUGGGGAUGGAGACGCGGCUUAUCAGCUUGUCGGUGGGGUAGUGGCUUACCAAGGCUUUGACGGGUAGCCGACCUGAGGGGGUGACCGGCCACAUGGGGACUGAGAGACGGCCCAGACUCCAACGGGAGGCAGCAGUGGGGAAUAUUGCGCAAUGGGCGGAAGCCUGAUGAAGCAACGCCGCGUGCGGGAUGACGGCCUUCGUGUUGUAAACCGCUUUCGCCUGUGACGAAGCGUGAGUGACGGUAAUGGGUAAAGAAGCACCGGCUAACUACGUG
Molecule: ribosomal RNA, 468 nt
Filed under: uncultured bacterium
Lineage: Bacteria
Description: partial 16S ribosomal RNA
Rfam family: Bacterial small subunit ribosomal RNA
Source: RNAcentral